Molecule: long non-coding RNA, 958 nt
Organism: Megalobrama amblycephala (Wuchang bream)
Lineage: Eukaryota; Metazoa; Chordata; Actinopteri; Cypriniformes; Xenocyprididae
Exons: 4
Source: RefSeq, a predicted model, not a curated record
UGCAGAAAGCUAUUCUGUACUGUAAUGUCAGUGUCACGCAAAGAAAAGAUGAAUUCAAUAGUCUCACAUAGCCAGAUCUAUAGUCUAAAGUCUCAAAUAUACGUUAAUCAAACAUAACAGUGCAAUUUCAAUUACCUCAUCUGUCGACAUGAUGACGGUGAAUUGCAGAGCUUUUGCAAACAUAUCCAUCGCUACGAUCCUUUAACUGCUGCUGUCAUCUUUGUUGUGUUUAUUUUGUUAUUGAGAGGAAAUCGCGCAUAUAUUUACAUAUUCAUCUAAACGUCGCUCUCAGCAGUGUGGACGGCCUGCAAAGUCAGAGAUGGAGUGUAGAUGAGAGCAGACAGGUGUCCUGGAGCUCUUCACGCAGUAGUCGUGCGGACUAAGGAUCAGACAGGGGUUCAGAUCGCAUCGACCCGGCUGCUGGAGCUGCAUGCUCGGAGAGGACAGGGGGCCUUUGGCUGACUCAGCACAAACAGACGCACACCAGGUGUGAGACCAGCGUUAUGAUUCACCACACAGAGGAGCAGCACCAGCAACUUCUGUCUCACGCUAUUCACACUUCCUUGUGGAUGCAUUGUCCUGCAUUCAAGACAAAUCUCCAGCUCCUAGAAUCCCCUUCCAACGAGUCUAUGCUAAAACCAAGAACCAUAUAUACCCAUCAUCCUCUACAGCCUGACUGCAGUCUAAGCAACAUGUUCAGGUAUCAUUCUAUCUAUACACAUCCUCUACUGUAGAUGCUGUGAAUGUACAGUGAAAGUUCAGGUUGUGGCAGCUGCUCGAGUUUCCCACACAUCUUCAUUCUAUUGAAAUAAGAAGUGAUUGUACAGCAGAAAAUGCAUUUACGGAGAUUUCUGCGUUAUGGAGUUUCACAAGCAUUAAGGAAGCGCCAAACUGUUCAUUCCUUUUAAAACAGGGUUCUGCUCCACAGAACUAUUCAUUUAUUCAUCAUGUAAUAAAG